CCUACGGGAGGCAGCAGUGAGGAAUAUUGGUCAAUGGGCGGAAGCCUGAACCAGCCAAGUAGCGUGCGGGAUGAAGGCCCUACGGGUCGUAAACCGCUUUUGCACGGGGAUAACACCCUCCACUUGUGGAGGUCUGCAGGUACCGUUCGCUUAAGGGCCGGCUAAUUCCGUGCCAGCAGCCGCGGUAAGACGGAGGGCCCGAGCGUUAUCCGGAUUCAUUGGGCUUAAAGGGAGCGUAGGCGGGCGGUUAAGUCAGCGGUAAAAUCGCGCGGCUCAACCGUGCCCCGCUGUUGAAACUGGACGCCUUGAGUUCACGACAGGCAGGCGGAAUUCGUGGUGUAGCGGUGAAAUGCGUAGAUAUCACGAGGAACCCCGAUGGCGAAGGCAGCCUGCCGGGGUGCGACUGACGCUGAGGCUCGAAGGUGCGGGUAUCAAACAGGAUUAGAUACCCUUGUAGUC
RNAcentral lists this ribosomal RNA (459 nucleotides) under uncultured bacterium. Its description in RNAcentral is "partial 16S ribosomal RNA". It matches the Rfam family "Bacterial small subunit ribosomal RNA", at positions 338 to 795 of the family's 1533-position model. The record is from RNAcentral.